RNAcentral lists this ribosomal RNA (344 nucleotides) under Onthophagus borneensis. RNAcentral describes it as "partial 16S ribosomal RNA". Lineage: Eukaryota; Metazoa; Arthropoda; Insecta; Coleoptera; Scarabaeidae. The record is from RNAcentral.
GCCGCGAUAAUUUGAUCGUGCAAAGGUAGCAUAAUAAUUAGUUUCUUAAUUGGGAACUGGAAUGAAAGGUCGAACGAGAAAAAUACUGUCUCAAUUUUAUUUAAUUAGAAUUUUAUUUUUAAGUAAAAAAGCUUAAAUAAUUUUAAAAGACGAGAAGACCCUAUAGAGUUUUAUAUUUAUUAAUGUAUUUUUUAGUUUUAGAAUUUAAUUUUAGAAUAUAUUAAUAAAUAUUUGGUUGGGGUGAUUGGAAAAUUAAAUAAACUUUUUUUUAUUAUUGAACAUUGAUAUAUGAUUAAUUGAUCCAUUUUUAUAUGAUUAUAAGAUUAAAUUACCUUAGGGAUAAA